Molecule: long non-coding RNA, 766 nt
Filed under: Mytilus galloprovincialis (Mediterranean mussel)
Lineage: Eukaryota; Metazoa; Mollusca; Bivalvia; Mytilida; Mytilidae
Source: RNAcentral
GAAUUUUCUCAAAAAAUUUGCUUGUAUAACUAAUUUUUGUUUACAAUUCCUAAAAUUACUGAGUCUGAUAAUAAAGGCUUUUGGGGCAUACUAGAAUAGAACCAUACAUGUGUAGCAUUAGUUUUAGUGAAUAUGUUUGUCUUUAUUUUGUUAAGCAUGUUACAGUAAUUUACAAAUGAACAAGUCAUUUAAAUGAUGCUUAAGAUAAUGCAUAAUGAUUAUUACAUAGUCCAGUUUUCAUUCAUGUACAAAUGUUUUAUCUAGUCGAAGUUUUCAUUCGUAUAUUUAUAUUUUUUUGUUAUUUAUGCAAUGAUGAUAAAAAUCAGGGUGAUUUUAUUUGUCGAUCUGUAGUGGGUAUAUGGAUUGCCCAUCAUACUUUUACACUGGAACCUUUUUAUUGUUCAGAAUAUUCACAAGAUGAACAUAUUGAUAAGGAUUUAGGAGGCUUGAUUUCCUUUAAUUUUUCACAAAAUGACACCCUGUAGCAUUUUAAAGAAUGGUUAUACACAUGCAAGGAUUUUCUUGUCACUUUUUUACUUAUUAUUAGUUAUUGUUGCAUAUUCAUGUUUUAUAACAUUUUGGAUAUACAGCAUACAGCACAUUGAUUGUGCUUAACCUCUCCACAGAAACAGUUUAACAAAAAAAAACAAAGCUGCAAUACUACGAUUGCAAUACUAGGGUAUCAUUUGUGAUUUCAGUAACAACCGUUUUAAACAAGAUUAAAACAUCCUAUAUGAAAAAAACAGAAGUUGAUUUUUAUCCAUAG